Long non-coding RNA from Ficedula albicollis (Collared flycatcher), 387 nucleotides. RefSeq lists it as uncharacterized. The transcript has 2 exons. The record is from RefSeq and is a predicted model, not a curated record. NCBI's taxonomy places the organism in Eukaryota, Metazoa, Chordata, Aves, Passeriformes, Muscicapidae.
AAAAAAAAACAACAACAAAAGCUCAGUUCUCUCUAUCUGAUGCAAGCCAGUACAUAGGUAAAGGUUAAGUCACCUUUUGGAACUGGUCCUAAUGGGAUGUUCCUUGUUUUUCCCAAAACAAGGCACAGUAACUUUUCGCCUGGAUGGUUUUGGGUCGAGGUGGGGAAGGACAGGAGGGCAGAAAUGUGGGUGCACCCCCUCAGCCAAACCUCGGCCACCUCACUGCUUUUUUUUUUUCCCCCCAGGAAAUCUCCUCCCAGUGUCCCACUUGCUGAAAUAUUGCUCAAGAAGUUGGGUAAAACUACAACAGGCAGGGGGAGAGGGCACAGCUGGAGGUGGAGCAGAGGCAGCGGCUGCUCCUGCUCAGACCACGACCCGUGAGCAGAG